This is a non-coding RNA of Pelobates cultripes (western spadefoot toad), 460 nucleotides long. The record is from the annotation of a GenBank genome assembly. NCBI's taxonomy places the organism in Eukaryota, Metazoa, Chordata, Amphibia, Anura, Pelobatidae.
GGCUACUAACUUUGUCUGGCUCAUCAUUAAGCUUAUGCUGCCAAAUUCACUGUCUCUAAUCUCCAAAUGCUUUUCUUGCUUCUGUUAGGGAUUGAUAUGCAUGGCGUGCAUAUGUUCUGCAUAUGAUAAUAAAUCUCUGUUUCCCUAUCUAAAUUGCAGUGAAGCUGCCAUCGGCUACAGAAUAAGUAAAUUUGAGUAAAAUGACAGCUUCAUUUUCAUUUCUUUAGUUAAUUUACCGCUAACCUUGACAACCCAGAUUUUUGUGAACUAGAGUUGUCUUAACAUUGAACUUCAGUAAGAAACAUAAAGGUUCUUUACAAAGCUAGAAUUUCAACUUGUUUUUACUCUGCAUUCAGGGUAGGUUUACAUGACCACCAGAUGACCUGUUUACAUGAUUACAUGGCCUGUUCAGUUUACUGCCAAAUCUGGAUUUUGAUACUCUUUGCCAUGUGCAGCUGAC